GACAAGUAUAUAAAGAAACUAUUAUGGAUGGUUAGCUAUAUAUUUCAAGAUAUUUAUAUCUAGGGAACAAUAUAAACUAGAAAUCAUAGAGAAAUCUAAUUAUAAGACAAAGUGAAUUGAAAUAUCUUAGUAACUUUAGUAAAAGAAAUCAAACGAGAUUGUUAUUUGGUGUCUUCUGAAUAGCAAAAGCCUUAAUAAAUAAUUACUAUAUUUACCAAAUAUAGGUUAUAAUUGUUUAUAGUAAAUAUACUAUUUAGUAUAUUUAAGUAUAACGGAAAAAAAUCUGUUGAAAAAUAGGGGAACCUUCCUCUAAGGCUAAAAAAAAUAUAUAAGCGAUAGAGUAACAGUACCGUGAGGGAAAUACCCUGAAAUAGUAGUUUUAUAAGCAGCUCAAGUUAAAAUUUAAAUAAAUAAUAAGAGCGUACCUUUUGCAUAAUGGGUCAGCAAGUUAAUUUUAGAUGCAAGUAACAUCUCUUUUAUAAGCAUUUACAUAUAGAACAUUAGACAUUAUGUCUAAUGAUAUUAUUUUAAUAUUGGUAUGUAAAUUUAUUAAUAAAAUUAGGAGGUAGAUACGCAGAUAAACCAAUUAUGAAAAAAUGAAUUAGUAUCUAGAAUUAGACCCGAAGGCUAGUGAUCUUACCAUGGUCAGGGUUAUAAAAGCCCGAACGGGUUAUCGUUGUAAAGAUAUCCGAUGAACUGUGGUAAGUUAGUGAAAGACAAAACUGACUAGUAUAGCUGGUUUUCCGCGAAACCUAUGUAAGUAGGUAAUUUAAUUAACAUCUUAGCAGGUACAGAACUGUGAUCUCGGACAAUAUCUAAGAUAUUUGUCAACAUCGGGGGGUUGUAGUGACUUUACCGGAGAGUAUUUGCACUCGGAAGGGCAAAGAUGAAUGUUAAAUAAUCGGACAUAGUGCGAUAAGGUUGUAUGUCUAAAGGGAAACAGCCCAGAACAAGAGUUAAGGUUCCAAAAUUAUUGUUAAGUGAAAUUAAGGAUGUUUUUUUUUAAAACAAUCAGGAAAUAGGCUUAGAAGCGGCCAUUUUUUGAAGACCUCGUAACAGAGCACUGAUUAAUAAAUUAGGAAAAAACGCCGAAAAUUUAACGGAUCUAAAUAAUAUACCGAAACCUUGUACACAAAUUAAAAUUAAAGCGCUGUGGCUUAGAUUAGAUGUUAAAUCUAAAUUUAAGCGCUGUGACUUAGGAUUUUUGUGGGGUAGCGGAACAUUGGAUUAAACAAAAUAUUAAUAUUUUUCUUAAAAUAUUAAAGAUCUUGCAUAAAGCUAUCUAAACUAAAUAUAUGAUUUAUUAUAUAUUGUGAUUGAUUAUUUAUUUAACUAUACUACAAUAUAAUAUAACUAAUUGAUUAUAUAUUUAACGAUAUAUUUUUAAAUUAGUUAUUUAGUGUGGGUUAUAUAGUUAAAUAAAAAAAGUUAGUAGUAGUAAAUAUAGUAGUUUAAAUAUUAUAUUACGAUUUAUGAGUAUCUGUUAAAUCCAAGAGAGAAUGCUGACAUGAGUAACGAAAAAGGCUUUUAGCCUCGCCUGAAGCUUAUGGUUUCAUCUAAAAUCGGUGUCUAAAAAAAUUAAUCAAAUGAUAAUUUUGAUGACGUUUUAUGCUUUUUUUAUAUGAUAAUACCAAAACCUUUAACAAGUAAUAAAGGUUCUGGAAAAGUUUAUUUUAUUAUUUGAAGUGGAAAAUAUUUAAUACUCAUACUUAUUGGUAUAAAAUUGUAAAUUAUAAUAUAUAAUACAUACUUAUUAUAAUAUUGUGAUUUACAAAUAUAAUAGAGUGAGUAAAAUAAUAAAUAUUUUUUAACCAAGUAAUAGUCUUUAUCUAUUAUAAUGAUAUUAAAGAUAAUAAUUAAUAAUUAAUUACCAUUAGAUUAUUAAUAUGUAUUUAUAGAUUAUAUAAUGAUUAUUAUAUAAAAUAUAUUUAUUAAAUAUUAUUAUUAAUAAUACUAUAAUAUAUAGAUUAAAGACAACUUUACACUGGUAAAAAAAAUAAAAGAAAAAAAACAAUAAAUAACCGUACCUAGAAACUAACUCAAGUAAGCAAGUAGAGAAUACAAAGGCGUUUGAGAGAACAAUCAUUAAGGAACUCGGCAAAUUGACUCUGUACCUUUGGAAUAAGGAGGACCAUUAUUAUUAAAUUUAACAUAUAGUAAAGUAUGAAAUUAAAUAUGAAAAAUUAAAUUAAUAAUAAGAGGAAUCAUGAAAUAAUGUUGUACGACUGUUUAAUAAAAACACAGCACUCUGCAAAGAUAAAAAAUCAAAGUAUUGAGUGUGAUGUCUGCCCAAUGUCGGCUGGGUAACGGAUCUACCUUGAUUAUUAACUGAGGUUUUGAAGGACACCCCGAUUAAUGGCGGCCUUACCUAUGAGGGUCCUAAGGUAGCGAAAUACCUUGGCCGUUAAAUGCGGUCCUGCAUGAAUGACUUAACGAUGCAACAGCUGUCUCGAUGAUUGUCUCAGUGAAAUUGGAAUAGCAGUGCAGAUACUGUUUACCUCUAGAUAGACGAGAAGACCCUAUGCAGCUUUACUGUUACUAAUUAUAGGAGUGAAAUUUUAGGAUGAUUUAUAGUGUAUAAGGUAGUUGUUUAGAUAAUAAUGAAACACCUUUAUUCGAAUCCUUAUAUAUACUCUUAAUGAUUAGAAGGCAGUUUAUGCGGGGCACAGAUCCCACAAAAAGUACCUGGGUAUAUCCAAAGUUCAUAUUGUAAACUUGUAUAUUUAUAUACAAAUAUUUUAAUUUGUUCUAAUUAUUAUUAUAAUUAUACAGUUAUUAUUCGAUUAAAUUCCACAAUUAUUUUUUAUUUUAAGUAAGAUUUUAACUAUGCGGUGAAUAGAUGUAUUUUAAACUUUACUGGACUUUGUUCUAAUUUUAGUUCAAAGAUUUAAAAGUUUAUUUGUUAUAUUAAUAAAGUAUUUAUCUUUAUUAAUAUAAUGUUUAUUAAUACUUUAAAAGUUUAAUGGCUAAAUCUUGCUUUACUGUUUGACCUACAAGUCUAUCAGUCGCGUAAGCGGGGCAUAUGAUCACAAGAUGCAUUAAGGAAAGGUCUUGGAUUAUAGAAAAAGUUACGCUAGGGAUUUAUAACUGUGAGUCCUCCAAUAUUAUAAAAUAUUGGUAAU
This is a ribosomal RNA of Penicillium solitum, 3122 nucleotides long. It matches the Rfam family "Bacterial large subunit ribosomal RNA". Lineage: Eukaryota; Fungi; Ascomycota; Eurotiomycetes; Eurotiales; Aspergillaceae. The record is from Rfam.